RNAcentral lists this ribosomal RNA (723 nucleotides) under Cedecea sp. Its description in RNAcentral is "bacterial SSU rRNA". It matches the Rfam family "Bacterial small subunit ribosomal RNA", at positions 28 to 740 of the family's 1533-position model. Lineage: Bacteria; Pseudomonadati; Pseudomonadota; Gammaproteobacteria; Enterobacterales; Enterobacteriaceae. The record is from RNAcentral.
AUUGAACGCUGGCGGCAGGCCUAACACAUGCAAGUCGAGCGGUAACAGGGAGUAGCUUGCUACUCCGCUGACGAGCGGCGGACGGGUGAGUAAUGUCUGGGGAUCUGCCUGAUGGAGGGGGAUAACUACUGGAAACGGUAGCUAAUACCGCAUAACGUCGCAAGACCAAAGAGGGGGACCUUCGGGCCUCUUGCCAUCGGAUGAACCCAGAUGGGAUUAGCUAGUAGGUGGGGUAAUGGCUCACCUAGGCGACGAUCCCUAGCUGGUCUGAGAGGAUGACCAGCCACACUGGAACUGAGACACGGUCCAGACUCCUACGGGAGGCAGCAGUGGGGAAUAUUGCACAAUGGGCGCAAGCCUGAUGCAGCCAUGCCGCGUGUGUGAAGAAGGCCUUCGGGUUGUAAAGCACUUUCAGCGAGGAGGAAGGCAUUAAGGUUAAUAACCUUGGUGAUUGACGUUACUCGCAGAAGAAGCACCGGCUAACUCCGUGCCAGCAGCCGCGGUAAUACGGAGGGUGCAAGCGUUAAUCGGAAUUACUGGGCGUAAAGCGCACGCAGGCGGUUUGUUAAGUCGGAUGUGAAAUCCCCGGGCUCAACCUGGGAACUGCAUUCGAAACUGGCAAGCUUGAGUCUUGUAGAGGGGGGUAGAAUUCCAGGUGUAGCGGUGAAAUGCGUAGAGAUCUGGAGGAAUACCGGUGGCGAAGGCGGCCCCCUGGACAAAGAC